Jaculus jaculus (lesser Egyptian jerboa) is the source of this 107-nucleotide small nuclear RNA. NCBI's taxonomy places the organism in Eukaryota, Metazoa, Chordata, Mammalia, Rodentia, Dipodidae. The record is from RefSeq and is a predicted model, not a curated record.
AUGCUCACUCCAGCAGCAUAUAUACUAGAAUGGAAAUGAUGCAGAGAUUAGUGUGAUCUCAGCACAAGGAUGACAUGAAAAAAAUCUAUGAACGAUUUCAUGUUUUU